AAACAAAAAUGAUGGUGAAAAAUGAACACACAAGGUAGUAAAACAAAUCAAUAAAGGAGAAUUAAAGAGAAAAUAAAUAAAAUAAAAAAGAUUAAUAAAAAUUUAGAGGAUUGCGAGAGAGGUUGAAUGGUGACCGAGAGAAGAGGGUCAUAAUGACAUCGAUGUGAGCACAAAAACCUAGUAACAGUAAUAUAUAUUUUUAAUAUUAGUAUGAU
Molecule: long non-coding RNA, 215 nt
Filed under: Musa acuminata (dwarf banana)
Lineage: Eukaryota; Viridiplantae; Streptophyta; Magnoliopsida; Zingiberales; Musaceae
Description: long non-coding RNA (MACU_LNC009283)
Source: RNAcentral